GCAGAUCACUGAAGCAUCACUCCUGAAUGUUCCUCUGUACCCUCAAUAUGCAUUUGCACUACCAGUGAUCUCAAGAAUUCUAGAAAAUGAAAACUGGAUUACCAUCACCAAUGUCUAGGAACUCUGAGUCCUAUGGCUCUUGAUAUCUAGCAUCCUGGCUUCACUCACAUGGAUGAGCCCCAGCUGGAAUGCCUAGAAGACGUGGGACAGCUGGAUCUCUCUCCACACGGUUUUUCAUUGUUGCCUCAGGUUCCAAUAAAAGCAAAAGCUGCAAGGUCUUCUGAGGCAAAGACUUAGAAAUACCACAAUGUUACUUCUGCUGCAUUCUGUUGAUAAAAAAAAUCCCACAAUGCCAGCUUCAUUUAAAGCAGUAAAGAUAUAGAUUAUUCACCUUCGAUGGGAGGAACUGCAAAUGAUGUAAUUAGUGAUAAUUUUUAAUAUACUGUAAUGUAUUGACUUAUCUUUAAAAAAUGAAAAAAUAAACCA
Molecule: long non-coding RNA, 486 nt
Filed under: Pan troglodytes (chimpanzee)
Lineage: Eukaryota; Metazoa; Chordata; Mammalia; Primates; Hominidae
Description: lincRNA
Source: RNAcentral